AGAGUUUGAUCCUGGCUCAGGAUGAACGCUAGCGGCAGGCCUAACACAUGCAAGUCGAGGGGCAGCACGGUGUAGCAAUACACUGGUGGCGACCGGCGCACGGGUGCGUAACGCGUAUGCAACCUACCCAUAACAGGGGAUAACACUGAGAAAUUGGUACUAAUACCCCAUAACAUCAGGACCGGCAUCGGUUCUGGUUGAAAACUCCGGUGGUUAUGGAUGGGCAUGCGUUGUAUUAGCUGGUUGGUGAGGUAACGGCUCACCAAGGCAACGAUACAUAGGGGGACUGAGAGGUUAACCCCCACAUUGGUACUGAGACACGGACCAAACUCCUACGGAGGCA
Molecule: ribosomal RNA, 343 nt
Filed under: uncultured bacterium
Lineage: Bacteria
Description: bacterial SSU rRNA
Rfam family: Bacterial small subunit ribosomal RNA
Source: RNAcentral